GGAGAGGUGGCAGAGUGGCUGAUUGUACCGGUUUCGAAAACCGGCGUGUCGAAAGACACCGGGGGUUCGAAUCCCCCCCUCUCCGCCA
RNAcentral lists this transfer RNA (88 nucleotides) under Planctomycetota bacterium. RNAcentral's name for it is "Planctomycetes bacterium (bioreactor metagenome) tRNA-Ser". It matches the Rfam family "tRNA". From Rfam's summary of the family: Transfer RNA (tRNA) molecules are approximately 80 nucleotides in length. Their secondary structure includes four short double-helical elements and three loops (D, anti-codon, and T loops). The record is from RNAcentral. Lineage: Bacteria; Pseudomonadati; Planctomycetota.